Molecule: ribosomal RNA, 1464 nt
Filed under: Triticum aestivum (bread wheat)
Lineage: Eukaryota; Viridiplantae; Streptophyta; Magnoliopsida; Poales; Poaceae
Description: partial small subunit ribosomal RNA
Source: RNAcentral
AUGUCGGAAAUUGGGGCCAUGAUUGCCGCUGCACUUUUGAAGGAGGUGGUGCAGCAGAUUGGUUCGCUGGUGGGAGGUCAGAUCAAGCUGCAGCAGAACUUGGACAAGGACCUCAAGGAGAUGAAGGCUACCCUCGAGUCCAUUGAGGCGCUCCUCAAGGACGCUGAGGACGCCAACACCAACAAUUCCAUGCGUUUGUGGCUCAAUCGUCUCAAAGACGCCAUGUAUGGCAUCGCCGACAUGAUUGACGAUUUUGAAGGAGGAACUGAGGCUGAGCCAACACGAAAGUUCUCCAUCAAGAAACAUUUAGCAGUUAUGAUGCCUUGUAUCACAAUAGGGCCCAAGUUCACAAUGGCUAACAAGAUGAAGACGAUGAGAGAGGAACUGCAAGGGAUCACAGAUCAAUACCAGAAAUUCAAGUUAGAGCCGGGCACUAAUGCCGAUGAGCCAAAUGUAAUACAAAUGCGUGAAACAUCAUCAACCAUUGAGGCAUCAAUCAUUGGGAGGACUGAAGAAGAAAAUAAAAUAUGGGUUUAUUUAUCUGAGAGCAUAAUAGAAGAGCUCAUUGUCCUUGCUAUACACGGCAUUGGAGGCCUUGGCAAGACGACCUUGGCGAAAAUGAUUUACAAUAAUAAAACAAAAUUUGAAGACUACGUCCGGGUAUGGAUUUAUGUAUCCGAGACAUUUGAUUUGAACAAAAUUGGCAAUUCUUUAAUAAGUCAACUGUCAGAAAAUGAGACUUCGUACAGUGAGAAGCAGAUGAUACACAGAUCACUUGCAAAGCUACUAGCCAAUAAGAAGAUUCUGAUUAUUCUAGAUGAUUUGUGGGCAGACGAUGAUUCUCAAUUGGAUAGCCUGACUGCCAUGCUUAAGGUUGGAAAGGGUAGCAAGGUGGUUGUUAUAGCAACCACACGCAAUGAGGAGAUUGCAAGGAAAAUUUCUGCCAUUCAUACUCAAACAAAAAUUUCGACCAUUCCCCCACAUGAGCUAGCAUCACUGACGGAUGAGAUGUGCUGGACUAUAAUAAAGCAAAAAAGUGGCCUUGAAUCUAGAGACGACAAAGAACAGUUGAAGGACAUUGGGGAAGCCAUUGCAGUGAAGUGUGGAGGCGUGGCUUUAGCUGCUCAAUCAAUUGGACCCAUUCUGGAAACUAUGACCUAUCAUCAAUGGAAGAAAGUGAGAGACAGUGAUAUCUGGAAAGUAUCUGCUUCUUCUUUAGAUCCAAAAGAUAAAGCUGCAAGACGGGUGCUUGCAUCCUUGAGGUUAAGCUAUACUUUUAUGCCUCAGUAUUUGAAGCUCUGCUUUGCCUAUUUGUCAAUCUUUCCAAAAGGAUGCAAGAUAUCUAAAGAUGAUCUAAUUCACCAGUGGAUUUCUCUUUUCUUUUAUUGGGGCAACACCAAUGUUCACUGCUUGGGAGCUUGGCGAGAUGUACAUUACACAGCUUUUGAAGCUUUCCUUCCUUGA